RNAcentral lists this unclassified non-coding RNA (485 nucleotides) under Hellenia globosa. RNAcentral describes it as "partial external transcribed spacer". The record is from RNAcentral. Lineage: Eukaryota; Viridiplantae; Streptophyta; Magnoliopsida; Zingiberales; Costaceae.
CAUUACUACGCUGGACGAUUCGGGGUGAUGAGGCCGAAGGCCACUUCACCAAUAAUGCACACGCUGCAUCCGCGAGCACUCAUAGCACCCAUGAUCCCGCUUAGAGAGAUAUAGCAUGAAGCCACACAAUCAUCCAAGGGGUCAUGGGCACCACUGUUCAGCCACUCCCGUACCGCAUUACACGGAGGGAGGGGAGAGAGAGCAUGGCACCGAGUCACAUUUCACGAGAGACAAUGUAGGCAGCACAGGCAAAACUUGUGGCACCAAUACCAUCAUUGGGCCAUUAUAUUGAGGGGUUGCAGCAACAACGGUUUGGUGCACAAGGCACGGAGCCCGCCGAUAGAUGCAAAUAUCAUGCAACUUAUGUGCCGACACGGUCAUUCCACUGUACAUCGCCCCAUCGCCCACAUGCAUGCCCAUCCAUCCAGAAGACGGUGGCAAGGGGGUCAAAUGAGGCAGUCAACGGUAGAACUCCGCCGAGCACA